GGUAAAUGGACAUGGAGCUGGAAAUCAAUCAAGGUUGGUGAUAACUGCUUGAAACUUCACACACUCAAUCAAUUCUCUGUGGGCACUCUCUGGUUUGUUCCUUGUGAAAUUAGUAAUAAGCUGAAGCAUGCAAUACAAAUUUAUCUGAGAACACUUUAGGAGAAAACAGGGAAAUAUGCAUGUACUGAAAUAGCUCUCCCUAUUAUUUUGUCAGAUUUCUUUGAAACUGCCCACGAUUCGUCUGUAAGCUUACCCCAUUAGAC
RNAcentral lists this long non-coding RNA (263 nucleotides) under Marmota monax (woodchuck). The record is from RNAcentral. Lineage: Eukaryota; Metazoa; Chordata; Mammalia; Rodentia; Sciuridae.